RNAcentral lists this transfer RNA (111 nucleotides) under Pseudomonas syringae pv. actinidiae ICMP 19072. RNAcentral describes it as "tRNA-Ala". The stretch from base 5 to 103 matches the Rfam family "tRNA", at positions 5 to 66 of the family's 71-position model. From Rfam's summary of the family: Transfer RNA (tRNA) molecules are approximately 80 nucleotides in length. Their secondary structure includes four short double-helical elements and three loops (D, anti-codon, and T loops). Lineage: Bacteria; Pseudomonadati; Pseudomonadota; Gammaproteobacteria; Pseudomonadales; Pseudomonadaceae. The record is from RNAcentral.
GGGGCUUUAGCUCAGCUGGGAGAGCGCCUGCAUGGCAUGCAGGAUUCUAGUGGCCUAGGACACCGCCCUUUCACGGCGGUAACAGGGGUUCGAGUCCCCUAGGGGACGCCA